This 3797-nucleotide long non-coding RNA is filed under the name Anas platyrhynchos platyrhynchos (common mallard). RNAcentral's name for it is "lncRNA (ENSAPLG00000022629.1)". The record is from RNAcentral. Lineage: Eukaryota; Metazoa; Chordata; Aves; Anseriformes; Anatidae.
UCUUCUCUUUUUUCUUCUAUUUAUUUUUUUCUCUGCUUUUUCCUUCACUUGAGCUUCCUUUCUUGCAGAGUUCAGGACUAUGAUGCUGAUUGCCUUCCUGACACAUCCAUACUACACUGAUCAUAAAGAGCAAGAGGCUGACAGACAAUGUCAAACAGCUUUCCAUGGGAACUUGGAUUCUGUAAGUACAGUUUGAUCUCUGCAAUGGCUCAGAACCACUCAGAUGCACAUUGUGUACUGGUGCCAGAAGUUUGUCUCCAGGCUACUAGGAGAGAUAUUUAAGGUACUGUGAUGUUUAAACAGAGAAAAAAAAAAUAUGUCUUUUAUUAAUCAUAUUUGCACAACUGAUCAGGAAAAUACAUUUCUUAUGUUUUCAGAAUUAAUUUUGUGGAGCAAAGUGAAGUCAGAUUAACCUAUAGACCUAAGGAAAACUAUGGCUUCUUUGUUUCAGGCUGGAGAAAGGCCAAAUCACAUUAUAGCAUACUUUACUGGUAAGGUUAUAUCUUAGGAAAGCCCCAACAGGCUUUGAGAGGGAACCAGUAUCUAACAGAGUUAACGGCUGGACAUUCAGCUCUAUCUUGUACUAGUUCCAGAUUCUUACAUUAUAUACCACACAGCUAUCAGUUUUACUGUCACUGGGAUUUCAGACAGAUGCAUAUAUCACACAGACACUGGUAAUACUUUUGAUGAAUGAAUGGGCCUUUUUUUUUUUUUUUUCUUUUUCCUAGACAGUCCAUGUAUACAGAUGUGGAGAACAUAUUCUAGAAGAUAUCCUGAUUUAGCGGGUUCUGAAGAACCCAAUGUGUUCAACCACCUUCUGAAAAUGAAGAAAAAAAUCCCACAUUUUCUACAGAGGAAUAAUUUUAGUUUACUCCGUGUUUUAAAGGAAGGAAUGAGAUAUUGCACUGUGAAGAACACUCCAAAAAAGACUUUUGCACUUAAUGCAACCAAGCACCAUCAUUCAGCUCUUUCAGUCCUUUUCAGUCAGUGUCACAGUAUGUAAAGAGAAACAGACAUGUAAUUAAAACACCUUCAUUUUUUAUUGAUGCUAAAGACAGAAGGAAAGGAGAGAGUGGUCUGGGAAUCUGGCUGCUACACUCCACAGUUAGUAAGAGCACUUUACCUUUUGUAAAGCAGCCUGGUCCCUGGAGCUUGAAGGAUUUCACACCUGCACAGAUCGUGACACAAGACUCAUCAUUUUCCAGUCUUUUCUUUUACAGCUAAGCUGGAAGCAUGAUCCUUGCAAGAUGCUCUCAGAAUUGAUUUGCCUUGUGUCAAUUAUUUUGAAGCAAGGAGGCCACGUGAAGGAAGGGAGGACAGCUCAUGCUGUCCCCAGAAGAAAGACUGAAGUAAUUUUCAAAUUAUGCAACUGUGUCUGGUGAUGACGCUAAUGAGUUCCUUAAAAAUGCAAAUAGCAGCUCAGGUAGUGAUUAACUUGUGUUAUUGACAGACUAAUCUUGAGUUCAAAAAUAUAGCAUGCUCUGACUUAGGCUCUCACAUCUUUUCGUAACAUAUGUUUUGAAGUUUCAAGGUAAUAAGGGAAGAUGAGAUUGUGAUUAAAAAAGGUUUCUCUGGUUGGAAACAGAGACAGCCUUCCAUGUUUUCUAAAUGUGACUGUGAUUAUGGGCAUAAGGUAAGAAAGGCUUUAAAACCUUUAAGUUUCUAGGCAGUCUUAUAGUUUUCUUGUUUAUCAAAUAUUGCCAAUGAAAAAAUGACAUUGAAAAGUGAAGUCUGCUAUUGUCAAGCCUACAACAUCUACUCUAUUUGCUGUCAGAUUGCAUUGUAUGUAUUGUGCAUCCUUUAACAGCACUUAGACAUGCUGACACAAAAUACAAAGAUGAUCCAAUUACGUUUUCUGCAACUACAUCUCAUUUUGCUAAUUCCUACAAAUUAAGGGUGUCUAUCACCCCUUACAUGAGACAGAACACAGAUAACAUUUAAAAUCUCAUGGAUUUUAUAGUGUACACCACUUAAAUACAGGAACAGUCCUAAUCAUAAACAGUUGACAUGUAGCUCAUAAACUGUCUAGCCAAUAUGAAAAUGCAACCAUGUAGUGCAUACAGAAAUGAUUCCUCCUUAUUGUUAUUUAUUAGUGGUAGUAUUAUUUAUUUGUUGCCAUUUGUGUUUGGUAAUUUAUUUACCAUAGGCAGUUUAAAUGUACAACAUCAGUGCUGAUCUACUUACAGAGUGAUCAGUGUGUAUAUAUAUAUAUAUAUAUAUAUAUAUAUAUAUAUAUAUAUGUAUGUAUUUUUUCUUUUUUUCCAGACUGACUUGCCAUAGGUAGAAAAACCUAAAAAAUCUAAUGAACCUUUUCAGGAGUCAGAUUAUUGAAGAACACUCUUCUGGAAGGAUGCUAUUUGUUACUAUCUAACAGAUUUGUAUGAAAUAUGAAAACCACAGAGAUUAAAAAAAAAAAAAAAAAAAAAGACUCAUUUGUACUUUGCCAAUAGUCACUGAGUAGGAUGGCAAAAUCUAACACCAUAAGCAGUGUUUCAUUAGCCGCAGAACUGCAGUUGAAAGAUGUGUGCUCCAAUGGGUCACAUGAUGUGGGAUUUCAUUGAAACAUCUUUACUCUAGGGAAAAAGUAAGAUAUGAGGGAUUCCUGAGGAAAAAAAAAAGUGCAUUUGCUCCCAUCUUGUACCUUAUUGCUGGACAUUGUCUGCUAGUUUUCUGGGGGGUUAUCAUGCUCAUUCCCCCUCAUGGCUAUCACACACUGAGUUGGCAGAGUAUUUGCUUUGCCAUUGUCACCGGGACUGAGACACCUAAUGUGAGAGACACCUCUUCUCAGCAUGUUGGGCACAUUCCUUCCUCAUCUAUCCUCUCCAAGCAGCUUCUUCCAUUAAUAGGCAAUGGUUGCAGACGGACAGUCCCGAACUUUCCUAUGUUGCUGCUGCCCUCCCAGAAGGCCUUCUGAGGAGGAAUAGAAGGAAGGGUGAGGAGAAAUGUCCCAAUGUGCCUUUUGCACAAUGGUGAGGCUAAGAGUUUUGAGAGCCUCUGGAACUUUGUUUGAUUUUAAAAUAUCAGUUACUUUGAUAUUUUCAGCUUAAUUUAAGAAUUUUGCACCAAAUGCUGGGAGGUUUCAGGAGUGACACACUGGGAGAGUUUGUUCCAUUUGUUCCUUUUUUGUGUGUGUGUGGUUGGUUUUUUUUUGUUUUUGUUUUGUUUUGUUUUGUUUUGUUUUGUUUCCAUAAGAGUCAUGGAGAUGAUAGGUUUAAUUUUUUAGCUGAACAGUUAUUUAUGUUUCUUCUGUGAUUUCCAUGGGAAGAAUACAUCUCUCUAUUUCACUCGCCUUUGAAGAGGAAUCUGAAUUACCUCAGUGUCAAACAGCUCAACUGUUUUACUUUUUUUUUGUUGUUUUCAUCUUUAUUUUUAUUGCCAUUAACACGGUUACAUAUGGGUAACCGUAUGGUGGGAUACAAGAAUCAGAUGGCUGGCCAGAAGUCUGGCAUCUGCAGAAAUUAGUUUAUUAGGCCAGGUUUCCAAAUGGGAAACUGAAUCUUUAGCAAAUGAGUAAUUAUGGAACACAUGAAAGUCAGAGUUGGAUAAAAUAACCCAGUGUUCCUCUGCUCCAAAGAGCACCCUAAACUCACCUGGACAUUUUGAGAGGUAACAUAUCAGCCUCAGCUCCAGCACCAGGAAUCUGCUGCAUGAAAAUAGCUGGAUCUGUGAAAACGAGUAUUAAAAACAUUAUAGCAAAGUUGACUUCUUGGUGACACUUCAAUGCCAUAGAAUCUUAGUCAUAAAAAGUAGCCCCAAGAGGCAUCAACCCAGUAAUAAAGACAUUGUUAUAAUAAACA